GUACCUACGGGAGGCAGCAGUGAGGAAUAUUGGUCAAUGGGCGAGAGCCUGAACCAGCCAAGUCGCGUGAAGGAUGACGGCCCUACGGGUUGUAAACUUCUUUUGUCAGGGAGCAACGCCGGCUACGUGUAGCCGGACUGAGAGUACCUGAAGAAAAGGCAUCGGCUAACUCCGUGCCAGCAGCCGCGGUAAUACGGAGGAUGCGAGCGUUAUCCGGAUUUAUUGGGUUUAAAGGGUGCGUAGGCGGAAUGCCAAGUCAGCGGUAAAAUCGCGGGGCUCAACCUCGCUCCGCCGUUGAAACUGGG
RNAcentral lists this ribosomal RNA (305 nucleotides) under uncultured bacterium. RNAcentral describes it as "bacterial SSU rRNA". It matches the Rfam family "Bacterial small subunit ribosomal RNA", at positions 335 to 637 of the family's 1533-position model. The record is from RNAcentral.